UCAGGAUUAACGUUGGCGGUAGGCCUAAUAUAUCCAAGUCAUACGAGAAUUUUUAAUUCUAGUGGCGAACGGGUGAGUAAUGUAUAUCUAACGUGCCUAAGAGAGGGGGAUAACUGGAAGAAAUUUCAGCUAAUACCCCAUAAGAUAUUGAAUGGUAUCAUUUAAUGUUUAAAGUAGCGUUUGCUGCACUCUUAGAUCGGGAUAUAUUGUAUUAGCUAGUUGGUGGGGUAAUAGACCACCAAGGCCAUGAUGCAUAGCCGGGUUGAGAGACUGAUCGGCCACACUGGGACUGAGACACGGCCCAGACUUCUACGGAAGGCAGCAAUAGGGAAUCUUCCACAAUGGGCGCAAGCCUGAUGGAGCCAUACCGCGUGUGAGAUGAAGAACAAUAGUUUGUAAAUCACUGUUGUAGGGGAUGAAAAAUCAAAAUAGGAAAUGAUUUUGAAAUUGACAGUACCCUACCAGAAAGUCCUGUCUAACUCCGUGCCAGCAGCCGCGGUAAUACGGAGGGUGCAAGCGUUAAUCGGAAUUACUGGGCGUAAAGCGCAUGCAGGCGGUUUGUUAAGCGAGAUGUGAAAGCCCCGGGCUCAACCUGGGAACUGCAUUUCGAACUGGCAAACUAGAGUUCUUGAGAGGGUGGUAGAAUUUCAGGUGUAGCGGUGAAAUGCGUAGAGAUCUGAAGGAAUACCAGUGGCGAAGGCGGCCACCUGGCAAGUAACUGACGCUCAGAUGCGAAAGCGUGGGUAGCAAACGGGAUUAGAUACCCCGGUAGUCCACGCCGUAAACGAUGUCUACUCGGAGUUUGGUUCCUUGCGAACUGGGCUCUUAAGCUAACGCACUAAGUAGACCGCCUGGGGAGUACGGCCGCAAGGUUAAAACUCAAAUGAAUUGACGGGGGCCCGCACAAGCGGUGGAGCAUGUGGUUUAAUUCGAUGCAACGCGAAGAACCUUACCUACUCUUGACAUCCUCAGAAGAGCCCAGAGAUGGGCUUGUGCCUUCGGGAACUGAGAGACAGGUGCUGCAUGGCUGUCGUCAGCUCGUGUUGUGAAAUGUUGGGUUAAGUCCCGCAACGAGCGCAACCCUUAUCCUUAUUUGCCAGCACGUAAUGGUGGGAACUCUAAGGAGACUGCCGGUGAUAAACCGGAGGAAGGUGGGGACGACGUCAAGUCAUCAUGGCCCUUACGAGUAGGGCUACACACGUGCUACAAUGGCGCAUACAAAGGGCUGCAAACCAGCGAUGGUAAGCGAAUCCCAUAAAGUGCGUCGUAGUCCGGAUUGGGGUCUGCAACUCGACCCCAUGAAGUCGGAAUCGCUAGUAAUCGUGAAUCGGAAUGUCACGGUGAAUACGUUCCCGGGCCUUGUACACACCGCCCGUCACACCAUGGGAGUGGGCUGCACCAGAAGUCAUU
Molecule: ribosomal RNA, 1410 nt
Filed under: uncultured bacterium
Lineage: Bacteria
Description: partial 16S ribosomal RNA
Rfam family: Bacterial small subunit ribosomal RNA
Source: RNAcentral